CCUUUGGAAGCCAUCAGCAAGCUCUGUGACCAUCAGAGCUAUUAUCUGUGAUCAUAUACAUAACCUGAAGAUAGCAUAUCAUACUUUUUUUUAAUACUUUCAACUCCAAAAGGCUUUGGGCUUGUAAAAACAUAGUUUCAAAGAUUUUUAUUUUAUCAGCCACCAUCUCCAUUUUUACCUAUCCUUCCCAUAAAUGCAAGGAUAUGUUUUAGUUCUGAAACAUGAAAGUUAAUUUGAUUUUAUCCUGCAACUCUUGAGAACUGAUCUUUCUAGCCAGCAUAAAGAAAGUAUACUGACACAAAAAUCUUCAGAAAAAAUAUAGGAGGAUUAAAUACUCAAUUACUUCCAGGAUUGCUUACUCCUUUCCAAAGGGACUGCAAACCCCUUUCCAGAAGGAAAUUUCAAACUAAAAAAUUUUCUUUCAAUCAGAAGUUCAGUGAUUUUACUGCCAUCUAAAGUAAAUUAACUUUGAAAAUAAGUAUAAAAAUUAUAAUUGUAAUUUAUUGAUUCAAAAUUUUGUAUUUGGCAUUCCUUCUCAAAAAUUGUAGUCCAAUAUAAAAUUAGGCCAUGUGGAAAACAGUAAAGGCCUUUACUAGAUAUUCCUAGAAAACACUGAAGCAAGUACUAAAUAAAAUAAAAAUAAGAUGUUUUUGAAGGGAGAAUCUCGUAUA
RNAcentral lists this long non-coding RNA (671 nucleotides) under Homo sapiens (human). RNAcentral describes it as "non-protein coding lnc-SEC22C-4:1". The record is from RNAcentral. Lineage: Eukaryota; Metazoa; Chordata; Mammalia; Primates; Hominidae.